Long non-coding RNA from Gadus morhua (Atlantic cod), 874 nucleotides. RefSeq lists it as uncharacterized. NCBI's taxonomy places the organism in Eukaryota, Metazoa, Chordata, Actinopteri, Gadiformes, Gadidae. The record is from RefSeq and is a predicted model, not a curated record. The transcript is spliced from 7 exons.
AGUCGUCGUCACUGUCGCUGCUAGUUGUAUCAUGAUCCAGGAUGACCGGGGAAGGACUCGGAGGAGGAAGACUGAACUGCUGGGGACCUGGAAUGUAGAAGAUCAUCGUUAAGCGUACAAUUUGGUGACAUGGGUUAAGCUCCAUGAAACUGUAAAAGGUUCAGCACAUCCCUCUUGCCCCUCAAACGCUUCAAGAGAAAGAGCAACCAGUUGAAUUUCAGCGCGAAGUGGUUGGUGAGGAUGUGGCGAAGGAUUCUUCGAACCGCGUCACCAGGAUUGCAGCCCCCAAGCGCACUAAGGUGUGCUGCCUGCAGAAGAUCCUCCACCCUUUGAAGGUCUUCCUCGCUGUUCAUUGGGAACUUAAAUUCCUCAGAUGGAGUGUCUGCUGCUGCUGUCGUUUUUUGCCUAGUAAGGGCCUGGAGGAGGAGGUUGUUCUGCCUCACCAAGGCCUUCAACUCCUCCACAGCACGCAGGAGUGCAUGAUCCCGUUCUACAGGACAGAAAAACAUCAUGACUGUCAUGUCAAGAGGUGCUCCUGGUUUGGGCUUUUUUCAGGUUCAUACGCGCUGCAUCAUAAUUGGCUGUUGAAGACAACAAUGAAGUCUCAUCUGGCAUAGCGCUUUGGAUGACUGCAAUUUUCGUCCGCUUGGUGUCUUUAUACGGUGGCCAAAAAGACACCUUGCCGUCCAAACUUAGCCACGAGCAAGGCACAACCUCCACCUCAUUUGACUCGGUUCCCAACCACAGCUGUCCCCAGUGCAGUUGAAUCAACAGGGUGGUUGAAAAAUGGACGUUGGUCUAAAUAUUGCCUCGCCACAAAAGACGUACCACCAAGUGUCCUGCUAAUUGCCUCUAUUUUAAAAGUGGCACCACC